Molecule: long non-coding RNA, 930 nt
Filed under: Zea mays
Lineage: Eukaryota; Viridiplantae; Streptophyta; Magnoliopsida; Poales; Poaceae
Description: long non-coding RNA (ZMAY_LNC001127)
Source: RNAcentral
ACCAACAUUGUAGGCGAUUGGUUCCUUUCUUUUCGAUUCCUGUGUUUUUCUCCCAUUCGAAUAACGUUAAGAGUACCUUAUUUGUUUAGUUAACACAUCAUCGAUGUUGUUGUUCGUUCCAUUCUUUUUUCAUGCACCAUAUAAUUAAAUCAUGCAUAAUUAAGAUAUUACUAUUUGUAUUAUAGGAUAUAAGUGAGGCGAAUAACAUAAAAUGUGCAAAAGAGAUGUUCACACUAUUCCAAAAUGGAAGGUAUGCAUCUCAUGGAAAAUAUAUUUACUGAAAAUUUAUAAAAUAACUGUUUCAAGAUUCUAGAUUUAUAGAGGAUAUGUGUUUCCCCAACAACCCUGUUGGCAAUUCCUUGCUGUAAUUUAAAUAAGACAAAAAAACUAAAUUAGAAUCUGCUUAUAGAAAGAAACUCCAAGUAAAGCUCGAGAAGAUUUAUAGAAAGGUUCUCUAAGGCAUCAGAACCGUUCAAGAGAUAUAUGCAGGAGUAAUUAAACGGAUACCAGAUAUUAAAGUGAAAGCAUGAGGUCGUGUUGCCAAAUACUUUCUGAAUAUCACAGAAAAUUAGAAUGGAAGGAAGGUAACAUGUUCUUCACGCUGAUCUCUAUUGCUAUACAAAUGUAAAUUCCUUGGGUUUUACUUUCCUUGGUCUGCAGGUUGUCUUUGGACAAGUCAAGGUCCCUGAGAUGUGAACAAAUCCACGGCUUUCCUUGGUCUGACCUCUAUGGCUAUACAAGUCAAGAAAUGCGCUUGGUUCACGAAGUCCUUGAAAACUUUCUUUUAGCGCACAGUUCUUUUGGGACAACUAAGACCCAUUGUAAUCUGUUUUGUAUCCAACAUUUGUACAUUCCAACUUCUCAACGCUGCAAAUAUAUUCAUGUUGUUACCUCACUCAGUUGAACAAACGGCUUGGCAGCAUAUUUCAC